GGGGCAAUGGUGGCUGGUGGACUUAGAACCCACGGCGAGGGUGGCCGGUGUAAUCAUAACAAACCGUGGGGACGGAUAUACCUACCGUCUGAAUAAUUUCGAAGUGAGAGUUGGAACCACUUACGAGGAUAGUUCAUCAUUCAGCCAGUACAAACUCUGCGCCAGUUACCCGGGGGUGGCACCUGUGGGGAACACGUCUCUGUCCUGUGGGUCACCACUGAGAGGACGAUAUGUCUUGAUCAUUAAAGUUGGCAGUGACAACCAUCAAUUGCAGCUAUGUGAAGUGGAGGUUCAUGGUAUUUCAAGUGCAACCACCUUCCAGAGGGUAGCUGCAGAUGCUCGUGCAAGCCUUGUGCCCAUAUCCACGCUGAAUG
Long non-coding RNA from Lingula anatina, 374 nucleotides. Lineage: Eukaryota; Metazoa; Brachiopoda; Lingulata; Lingulida; Lingulidae. The record is from RefSeq and is a predicted model, not a curated record.